This 431-nucleotide ribosomal RNA is filed under the name uncultured Rhodoferax sp. RNAcentral's name for it is "bacterial SSU rRNA". It matches the Rfam family "Bacterial small subunit ribosomal RNA", at positions 948 to 1382 of the family's 1533-position model. Lineage: Bacteria; Pseudomonadati; Pseudomonadota; Betaproteobacteria; Burkholderiales; Comamonadaceae. The record is from RNAcentral.
AAUUCGAUGCAACGCGAAAACUUACCACCUUUGACAUGUACGGAAUCCUUUAGAGAUAGAGGAGUGCUCGAAAGAGAGCCGUAACACAGGUGCUGCAUGGCUGUCGUCAGCUCGUGUCGUGAGAUGUUGGGUUAAGUCCCGCAACGAGCGCAACCCUUGUCAUUAGUUGCUACAUUCAGUUGGGCACUCUAAUGAGACUGCCGGUGACAAGCCGGAGGAAGGUGGGGAUGACGUCAAGUCCUCAUGGCCCUUAUAGGUGGGGCUACACACGUCAUACAAUGGCUGGUACAAAGGGUUGCCAACCCGCGAGGGGGAGCCAAUCCCAUAAAGCCAGUCGUAGUCCGGAUCGUAGUCUGCAACUCGACUACGUGAAGUCGGAAUCGCUAGUAAUCGUGGAUCAGAAUGUCACGGUGAAUACGUUCCCGGGUCUU